RNAcentral lists this ribosomal RNA (458 nucleotides) under uncultured bacterium. RNAcentral describes it as "partial 16S ribosomal RNA". It matches the Rfam family "Bacterial small subunit ribosomal RNA", at positions 28 to 507 of the family's 1533-position model. The record is from RNAcentral.
GGUGAACGCUGGCGGCGUGCUUAAGACAUGCAAGUCGAACGGGCUCUUCGGAGCCAGUUGCGCACGGGUGAGUAACGCGUAACUGACCUACCCCAAAGUCGCGGAUAACGAUUCGAAAGAAUCGCUAAUACGUGAUGUGCUGUCAGAUCCUGUUCUGCCAGUAAAGCUUUAUUGCUUUGGGAUGGGGUUGCGUUCCAUCAGCUAGUUGGUGGGGUAAAGGCCCACUAAGGCGACGACGGAUCGCCGGCCUUAGAGGGUGGCCGGCCACAGGGGCACUGAGACACGGGUCCCACUCCUACGGGAGGCAGCAGUUAGGAAUCUUCAACAAUGGGCGAAAGCCUGAUGGAGCGACGCCGCGUGAGGGAUGAAGGUCUUCGGAUCGUAAACCUCUGAAUCAGGGACGAAAGACGCGAAAGCGGGAUGACGGUACCUGAGUAAUAGCACCGGCUAACUCCGUG